This 703-nucleotide ribosomal RNA is filed under the name Candidatus Phytoplasma pruni. RNAcentral's name for it is "bacterial SSU rRNA". It matches the Rfam family "Bacterial small subunit ribosomal RNA", at positions 642 to 1353 of the family's 1533-position model. The record is from RNAcentral. Lineage: Bacteria; Bacillati; Mycoplasmatota; Mollicutes; Acholeplasmatales; Acholeplasmataceae.
UAGAGUGAGAUAGAGGCAAGCGGAAUUCCAUGUGUAGCGGUAAAAUGCGUAAAUAUAUGGAGGAACACCAGAGGCGUAGGCGGCUUGCUGGGUCUUUACUGACGCUGAGGCACGAAAGCGUGGGGAGCAAACAGGAUUAGAUACCCUGGUAGUCCACGCCGUAAACGAUGAGUACUAAGUGUCGGGUAAAACUGGUACUGAAGUUAACACAUUAAGUACUCCGCCUGAGUAGUACGUACGCAAGUAUGAAACUUAAAGGAAUUGACGGGACUCCGCACAAGCGGUGGAUCAUGUUGUUUAAUUCGAAGAUACACGAAAAACCUUACCAGGUCUUGACAUUUUCUUGCGAAGUUAUAGAAAUAUAAUGGAGGUUAUCAGGAAAACAGGUGGUGCAUGGUUGUCGUCAGCUCGUGUCGUGAGAUGUUAGGUUAAGUCCUAAAACGAGCGCAACCCUUGUCGUUAAUUGCCAGCAUGUAAUGAUGGGGACUUUAACGAGACUGCCAAUGAAAAAUUGGAGGAAGGUGGGGAUUACGUCAAAUCAUCAUGCCCCUUAUGAUCUGGGCUACAAACGUGAUACAAUGGUUGAUACAAAGAGUAGCUGAAACGCGAGUUCUUAGCCAAUCUCAAAAAAACAAUCUCAGUUCGGAUUGAAGUCUGCAACUCGACUUCAUGAAGUUGGAAUCGCUAGUAAUCGCGAAUCAGC